Pelobates cultripes (western spadefoot toad) is the source of this 620-nucleotide non-coding RNA. The record is from the annotation of a GenBank genome assembly. Lineage: Eukaryota; Metazoa; Chordata; Amphibia; Anura; Pelobatidae.
GUUGUAUUUCCAUCAAAUAACUGUGCAAAAUAUAAAUCAACGUUUCUACCUGUUCGAGUCUUUAUCAACAUCUUGAUUAUUUAUAUAUUAUAUAAUCUAUGUAUAAUAAAAUGGGUGAAAUCCAGCAUGGAUUUUCAAUUUUAAAAUUCACGUAAAAUUAUGCCCAGAGUAAUAUUGAGUAACCUGAUCAAUCUUUUGAUACGAAGUUGAACAUCUUUAAUUAGCAAUGUUAUGGUGCAGGCAUCUGGCUUUUAAAGCUCGUGGCAAUGAUGGCAAAUCAUAGAAAACCAGGUAUCAAGGCAUGUACAUUGUAUUGUUAAUAAAAGGCAGUAGAUGUAUUAAGUUUCAUGUUCCCUAAAGAAGAUAAGAUUUAUAAUUCGCAACAUUGGUUUUGUCCAAAUCCUAACCUUUAACUGUGGUUAUCAUUAAUGUUUCUGAUUGUUUCUCAUUACAAUGAGGAAUAACUAUAUUACUACUUACAAAUCACGUAAACUGCUUCCGUUUUUUAUUUAUUUUUUUUGUGCUGGGAAAGCAAGAUGUAAUGCAAUGACUUAAAUCCUUUAUUGUAUGUAUAUUUGGGUGUAUGUGUAUGUAUAAUAUUUUGAUUCCGCUCGAAAAUU